UAACACAGUAAUAUCUAUUGCAGAAAAGAAAUGCUUUCCUCUACAACAAUUUUCAAAAAAAAAAAUCAGUUAUUAUUUUAUUUUAUUUUAUUGGAGGGAAGUCUCUGUGAGGUGGCGGGGAAGGGAACACACAAAAGACAUAUUUUCUCCAAAGAAGAUUUUGGGAAAAUCUUCUAUAUAUUAAACAAAUAAAAAACAAACUACCAAGAUUGAAGGGCAUAUAAGUGUUCUUGCUACAUGGAUGAAUUGUAUAAGGCUGAAAUCAGGGUUUUUACAGUGCCCAUCAUCAGGAUGUACCUCAUAGAUUAUAAAAGUUAAAAUCACUUUUCUAAGUGACCUUCACAUAAAGCAAGAAUUCUAUCACAAAAGCAUAACAGAAUUGAUGAUUUUAUCCUGGGAUGUCAAGUAAAAGAGUCAUCUUUGUACAGAACAUCUGAGUAAUCUCACAUGUGAAAGGACAAUGAAAGGGAGAAAGGUCAUUUGCACCGUGGCCAUGGACUAUGCAAUCUGGAAAACCCAGCAGGCUGCUGCUUGCCUUCAAUCCUUUUGAACCAUAUUCUUCUACAGGCAACGUAACAAUAAACUUCACAUAUUGAAGAAGGAGAGGACAUCACUAUUCAGUAAUCUUCAGA
Molecule: non-coding RNA, 632 nt
Organism: Microcebus murinus (gray mouse lemur)
Lineage: Eukaryota; Metazoa; Chordata; Mammalia; Primates; Cheirogaleidae
Source: RefSeq, a predicted model, not a curated record